GACGAACGCUGGCGGCGUGCUUAACACAUGCAAGUCGAACGGAAAGGCCCUGCUUUUGUGGGGUGCUCGAGUGGCGAACGGGUGAGUAACACGUGAGUAACCUGCCCUUGACUUUGGGAUAACUUCAGGAAACUGGGGCUAAUACCGGAUAGGAGCUCCUGCUGCAUGGUGGGGGUUGGAAAGUUUCGGCGGUUGGGGAUGGACUCGCGGCUUAUCAGCUUGUUGGUGGGGUAGUGGCUUACCAAGGCUUUGACGGGUAGCCGGCCUGAGAGGGUGACCGGGCACAUUGGGACUGAGAUACGGCCCAGACUCCUACGGGAGGCAGCAGUGGGGAAUAUUGCACAAUGGGCGGAAGCCUGAUGCAGCAACGCCGCGUGCGGGAUGACGGCCUUCGGGUUUUAAACCGCUUUCGCCUGUGACGAAGCGUGAGUGACGGUAAUGGGUAAAGAAGCACCGGCUAACUACGUG
This 468-nucleotide ribosomal RNA is filed under the name uncultured bacterium. RNAcentral describes it as "partial 16S ribosomal RNA". It matches the Rfam family "Bacterial small subunit ribosomal RNA", at positions 28 to 507 of the family's 1533-position model. The record is from RNAcentral.